GUCGGCGUGGGUUCCGGCUGGGGCUCCGGUUCCGGUUCGGGUUCCGGUUCCGGUUCGGGUUCGGGCGCCGGUUC
RNAcentral lists this transfer RNA (74 nucleotides) under Egicoccus halophilus. RNAcentral describes it as "tRNA-Arg". The record is from RNAcentral. Lineage: Bacteria; Bacillati; Actinomycetota; Nitriliruptoria; Egicoccales; Egicoccaceae.